Molecule: transfer RNA, 75 nt
Filed under: Clostridiales bacterium
Lineage: Bacteria; Bacillati; Bacillota; Clostridia; Eubacteriales
Description: tRNA-Glu
Rfam family: tRNA
About the family: Transfer RNA (tRNA) molecules are approximately 80 nucleotides in length. Their secondary structure includes four short double-helical elements and three loops (D, anti-codon, and T loops).
Source: RNAcentral
GGCCCCUUGGUCAAGUGGUUAAGACAUCGCCCUUUCACGGCGGUAACAGGAGUUCGAAUCUCCUAGGGGUCACCA